GGGGCCUUAGCUCAGCUGGGAGAGCACCUGCUUUGCAAGCAGGGGGUCGUCGGUUCGAUCCCGACAGGCUCCACCAUUUGAGUGAAACGACUUUGGGUCUGUAGCUCAGGUGGUUAGAGCGCACCCCUGAAAAAGGGUGAGGUCGGGUGGUUUCGGAGUCCUUCCCCAGAACCCACCCACUCUUGAAUGAAGUGCCACACUUAAGAAUUUUAUAUGGCUUCAGCGUUGGAGGCUGAGACAUGUUCUUUUUAUAACCUUGUGACGUAGCGAAGCGUUUGAGAUAUCUAUCUAAACGUGUCGUUGAGGCUAAGGCGGGGACUUCGAGUCCCUAAAUAAUUGAGUCGUAUGUUCGCGUUGGUGGCUUUG
Molecule: unclassified non-coding RNA, 366 nt
Filed under: Xanthomonas campestris pv. paulliniae
Lineage: Bacteria; Pseudomonadati; Pseudomonadota; Gammaproteobacteria; Lysobacterales; Lysobacteraceae
Description: partial 16S-23S ribosomal RNA intergenic spacer
Rfam family: tRNA (bases 1-73)
Source: RNAcentral